UACGUAGGGGGCAAGCGUUGUCCGGAUUUAUUGGGCGUAAAGAGCGUGUAGGCGGCCAAGUAAGUCUGCUGUGAAAACUCGAGGCUUAACCUCGAGCUGUCGGCGGAAACUAUUUGGCUAGAGUGCGGGAGAGGAGAGUGGAAUUCCCGGUGUAGCGGUGAAAUGCGCAGAUAUCGGGAAGAACACCCGUGGCGAAGGCGGCUCUCUGGAACGGUACUGACGCUGAGACGCGAAAGCGUGGGGAGCGAACAGG
Molecule: ribosomal RNA, 253 nt
Filed under: uncultured bacterium
Lineage: Bacteria
Description: partial 16S ribosomal RNA
Rfam family: Bacterial small subunit ribosomal RNA
Source: RNAcentral